Molecule: long non-coding RNA, 1002 nt
Filed under: Corvus moneduloides (New Caledonian crow)
Lineage: Eukaryota; Metazoa; Chordata; Aves; Passeriformes; Corvidae
Description: lncRNA (ENSCMUG00000017865.1)
Source: RNAcentral
AACCAGCAUAACUCUAAGUGCAUGGAUAUUGGAGAGUCUUAACGGGGACCAGUGAGAUGCAGGGCAGCACAGCAUCUCAGCUGGGAGUGCAGUUCUUCCUCUGACAUCCCUACUCAACUCAUGCAUGCAUCCUUGUGCAGCAAUGGACCUGACAGAACAUACAGAAGCAAACGUAUAUGCAGGUAUACCUGGCUGCCACCUCCUGCUGCUGAGCUGGGACUCCUCAAGUUGAUCAUGAAGCUGCAGCUCUUGGAACAAGGAAUGCCACUUCUGCAGUAUCAUGAUCUCUUGCAGCCACCACAACAAAUAAGCAGCAACUCUUUGAUGCAGAAGCUGAGGAGUGAAUGUUCCAAGUCCAAAGGGUGAUCCAGGACUUUUAAAGAUGUCUUUUUUUUUUUUUCUUUCUUUCUUUUUUUCUCCUUUUUUCUUUUUUUUGGAUCAAAUAAAAAUCAGUUCUUCAUUUAAAUGAUCUUAACCAUUAUGUGAGUAGGAAGCUGCCUUCCAUAGUCAGCAUCGUGAGGGAGAAUCCUGAUAAUUCAUUUAUUCCAUAAUAAUAGUGGGGUAGCUUUAAGGUUUUUACCAUCUGUGCUAUUAUGGGAAGGGGGAACAAAGCCAAUACAAAUUUAACCUUCAGAUUUAUGCUUCUGUGCUUCUCCAUUGUGCCUCUAAAAUUCUUCAGAAAAAAUCCUUAACCACUUCAGUACUGUAUGAUAAGAAAAACUACAGCUUCCAGACUCCACUUUUAUUUGAAAUCUGGAGAAUUUAAUUUAAUUUUAAAUCUGCAUGUUUUCAUUUAAUUUUGGACUCUAAUAACAAGUACUCAAGGCAAGAGAUAUAUUUAGUGAGUGUUAAGUUUGAUUGCAUCUAUUUGUCUGUGUGCCCAAAAUAUCCAAACCUAGCAUUAAGUGGUGUAUCUGUCUUCAAAUCUUUAUCUCCUUGAAAGUAAUCUCACAGUUUUACAGAAUGUACAAAUAUAAAAAGCUCAUUUAUGCCUAAGGCUUU